AGCAGCCGCGGUAAUUCCAGCUCCAAUAGCGUAUAUUAAAGUUGUUGCAGUUAAAAAGCUCGUAGUUGAAUUUCGGGAUCGACGGGUCGGUCGCGCCUCCGGUGUGUACUGGCCCUGUCGGUUUCUCCCUUCUGACGAACUGCGAUGUCAUUAAUUUGGUGUCGUAGGGAAUCAGGACUGUUACUUUGAAAAAAUUAGAGUGUUUAAAGCAGGCACACGCUUGAAUACAUUAGCAUGGAAUAAUGAAAUAGGACGUUUGAUCUUAUUUUGUUGGUUUCUAAGAUCGACGUAAUGAUUAAUAGGGAUAGUUGGGGGCAUUAGUAUUCAAUUGUCAGAGGUGAAAUUCUUGGAUUUAUUGAAGACUAACUACUGCGAAAGCAUUUGCCAAGGAUGUUUUCAUUAAUCAAGAACGAAAGUUAGGGGAUCGAAGACGAUCAGAUACCGUCGUAG
Molecule: ribosomal RNA, 450 nt
Filed under: uncultured Glomeromycotina
Lineage: Eukaryota; Fungi; Glomeromycota
Description: SSU rRNA
Rfam family: Eukaryotic small subunit ribosomal RNA
Source: RNAcentral